This 253-nucleotide ribosomal RNA is filed under the name uncultured bacterium. RNAcentral describes it as "partial 16S ribosomal RNA". It matches the Rfam family "Bacterial small subunit ribosomal RNA", at positions 524 to 776 of the family's 1533-position model. The record is from RNAcentral.
UACGUAGGGGGCGAGCGUUGUCCGGAAUCAUUGGGCGUAAAGAGCGUGUAGGCGGCUUGGCAAGUCUGACGUGAAAGCCCGCGGCUCAACCGCGGAUUGUCGUUGGAAACUGCCUCGCUAGAGUCCGGAAGAGGGGAGCGGAAUUCCUGGUGUAGCGGUGGAAUGCGCAGAUAUCAGGAAGAACACCCGUGGCGAAGGCGGCUCUCUGGGACGGUACUGACGCUGAGACGCGAAAGCGUGGGGAGCGAACAGG